ACCAGACUCCUACGGGAGGCAGCAGUGGGGAAUAUUGCACAAUGGGGGAAACCCUGAUGCAGCGACGCCGCGUGAGUGAAGAAGUAUUUCGGUAUGUAAAGCUCUAUCAGCAGGGAAGAAAAUGACGGUACCUGACUAAGAAGCCCCGGCUAACUACGUGCCAGCAGCCGCGGUAAUACGUAGGGGGCAAGCGUUAUCCGGAUUUACUGGGUGUAAAGGGAGCGUAGACGGCGGUGCAAGCCAGAUGUGAAAGCCCGGGGCGCAACCCCGGGACUGCAUUUGGAACUGGGCUGCUAGAGUGGCGGAGAGGGAGGCGGAAUUCCUAGUGUAGCGGUGAAAUGCGUAGAUAUUAGGAGGAACACCAGUGGCGAAGGCGGCCUGCUGGACGAUGACUGACGUUGAGGCUCGAAAGCGUGGGGAGCAAACAGGAUUAGAUACCCCUGUACA
Molecule: ribosomal RNA, 447 nt
Filed under: uncultured bacterium
Lineage: Bacteria
Description: bacterial SSU rRNA
Rfam family: Bacterial small subunit ribosomal RNA
Source: RNAcentral